Chelonus insularis is the source of this 1022-nucleotide long non-coding RNA. RefSeq lists it as uncharacterized. The record is from RefSeq and is a predicted model, not a curated record. Lineage: Eukaryota; Metazoa; Arthropoda; Insecta; Hymenoptera; Braconidae. The transcript has 4 exons.
AGUUACACAUUUGUAUCAUCAAUAUUGUUGAUAAAUUUAAUUACAUAUGAAGUUGAAAAUUCUUUAAAUGACUUUGAAAACUUGUAGUGGAAUGAUAUCCAAAUGAUAAAACAAAAAAAAAAUAGAAGCUCAUAGUAUGUGUGGAUAAUUACUUGAAAUUAAUUCAUCAAAGAUGUUUCUUUAUCAAGAUGGUAGCGUGGAAAUCAGUGCGUGAGUACUCAACGUAUGAGACAUUCAAAAAAAUUUUCUUUGAAAAUGAUGGAAAGGAAGAAAAAGAUGGAGAAAAAGUACUGAACUGUAAUUCUUUCCUGCACACAAGCCUCGUUAUGAUUUUUUCCAUUUUGGACACCUUUAUUUCUCUUAUCUUCUCCACAUCAUAUGAAUAUUUAUCUCAAUGAAAGUGUUGACCAAGUCACAUUGCCAAUAAAGUAUUAAUUUCUUGGGAUUUUACAAUAUAAAUGUCGGAAUGAGUUUGAAGAAAUGAUCAUCAAUUUGACGACUAUGAAAUAACUGGAGAUGAGGAGAGUAUCAAGAAGUAGGGAAAAAGAAUCAUCCUAUUUAUUUCCUAUCCAUGAAUUUACAUGGACACAUGAAAUUAGUUUAUAAUUGAUAUAUUAUUGAUAAAGUGAAUGACUUUUUCCUUAUUGAUUAAAAAAUUCAAAUUAUCAUCCAAUCAUUGGUGCGCACCUUGUGCACACAAUAUAUUCUAGUGUUUGAUGAAUGUCAAUGGUAUUUCUUGCGGAAUGUGAAUAAAAAAUUUCCAAGAAUUGAAUGAAACAACUGUAAUGGUGAUGGUGAUGGUUUAGUCUUGAAUCAGACUCUUCUGAUUAGGAGUCACCAGGUUUAUUGGCAUUCAACUUGCAAUCAAUGAAGAACCGUAAAGCAGACCACAAGAAUCCAUGCAGAGGUAGAGACAUGUUGCAACUCCUUGAAUCUUUAAUUGACCGCUUGACACGGAAAUCCUUUGGAAUAUUGCUGAAAAUCAUUUAUCAGUUAUUCAUCAGGAAUACUUAAUCAUCUUA